RNAcentral lists this ribosomal RNA (249 nucleotides) under uncultured bacterium. RNAcentral describes it as "partial 16S ribosomal RNA". It matches the Rfam family "Bacterial small subunit ribosomal RNA", at positions 523 to 769 of the family's 1533-position model. The record is from RNAcentral.
AUACGAAGGGUGCAAGCGUUACUCGGAAUUUACUGGGCGUAAAGCGUGCGUAGGUGGUUCGUUAAGUUCUGUCGUGAAAGCCCCGGGCUCAACCUGGGAAUGGCGAUGGAUACUGGCGGGCUAGAGUGCGGUAGAGGAGAGUGGAAUUCCCGGUGUAGCAGUGAAAUGCGUAGAGAUCGGGAGGAACAUCAGUUGCGAAGGCGGCUCUCUGGACCAGCACUGACACUGAGGCACGAAAGCGUGGGGAGC